Molecule: RNA transcript, 6125 nt
Organism: Dreissena polymorpha
Lineage: Eukaryota; Metazoa; Mollusca; Bivalvia; Myida; Dreissenidae
Gene name: multiple epidermal growth factor-like domains protein 10
Exons: 16
Source: RefSeq, a predicted model, not a curated record
UAGCCGAUGUAUCACGAAUUACAUUUUAUCUGUGAAAUGUAAAUAAAAAACAUCAGGUGAUAGUUGUAACUUCCUCCUUUAAAUGAUGAACUUCAGUUAAUGCGAUAAUGGACGAUAAGAAAACAUGACCUUAUCACUUUAUAUUUUAUUAAUUGUGGUCUCGAUGGGUGUGGCGAGGGCACAGGACUGCUCCAACUGCCUGUAUGAGGGGGAGCACUGCUAUGUCUACCCAGACACACACCAGUGUAUGUUUGGCUGUAAGCCAGGGUGGGUGGGGGACAACUGCCAACAGAGAUGCGACAGGAAGUGUGCAGAGUGCAGGCAGGUCAUGUCUUUACAGGAAUGCACAAGGUGCUCAGUCAUGGGAUAUUAUGGGCCAGAAUGCAACCUCCGCUGCAGUGAAAAUUGUCAGGGGUUUUAUAGCAAUGCUGCAACAUGCGAUUUUUAUGGCAACUGUAUCUAUGGUUGCAAGGAGCCAUGGUCCGGACGGACUUGCAGCGAACAAAACUGUACCAUACUUCAUUGCACGGAGUGUCGAAUGGCAGCACAGCAGUACAUCUAUUGCUACAAAUGUGAAGAAGGUUAUUUCUGGGAUAAUAAUCUUCUGUUAUGUAAGCCAUGCAGUGAUCAUUGCUCCCAGCCCUGCAGCCCCUAUUCCGGGCAUUGCAGUUGCAAGGCAGGCUGGAUUGGCAGCCUAUGUGACACGAGAUGCAACUUAGCCAGCUGUCUGAAUUGCACAGUUAACAGAGAAAAGGUUGAGUGUGCCGUGUGCGAGCUGGGGAAGUAUCCCAGCAACGGAAUAUGUGUAUCAUGCGAGGACCGAAACUGUAUUGGUCAUUGUAAUUCCAGUAGAGGUGACUGUCCUGAUGGCUGCAAGCCAGGAUGGUAUGGCAAGAAUUUUAAUUGCAAUCUAACCUGUGAUAUGGCCAAUUGUAACCAGUGCUCAUUGAGUUUCAGCGGUGCUGCAUUAUGCUUAAAAUGCAAGCCUGGUUUCUAUUUGUACAACAAAGCGUGUUUGAAGUGUCCGGACUACUGCAUUGACGGUUUGUGUAACGAUUUUAACGGUAACUGUAAAGAAUGCAUCAGCGGUUACUAUGGUGAAAAAUGCAGAUGGAGGUGUAGCGAUGGGUGCAUUGGCACCGUCUGUAAUAUUUCAGGGGAAUGCCAAUGCAGAGAAGAUUGGUAUGGACCUUAUUGUGAUCGAAAAUGUCCCUCUUACUGUACUGUUGAAAGCUGUAGGAACUAUAAUUCAACCCUUGGGUGUGUAGAAUGCGAACCUGGAAGAUACGGCUUAUACUGCCAGUCUAAAUGCCAUGAUAAUUGUCAGAUUGUAACUACCCAGAAUACCAGGUUUAAAUACUGCAUUAAGGAAAGCGGAGAAUGCCGGGAUGGGUGCAUAACCGGAUUUUAUGGAGGUGAUUGUUCUAUUCCUUGCACCUCUGGUUGUUAUGGGUCAUGUAACAGGUCUACGGGUGAAUGUGAAAGCGGUUGCACGCUGUCUACUUAUGGUAAAAGGUGUGAUUUGUCCUGUCCUAGUAACUGCCAGAGACCCCUAGCAGGAUAUCAACGAGCCUGUGAUAUGGUGACGGGGGCAUGUGAAAAUGGCUGCACAGUGGGUUUUACUGGACUGUUUUGUAACGAGUCGUGUGCAAAGAACUGUAGAGAUAAUACUUGCGAUCAAAAUGGGGACUGUGUCUUUGGCUGUAGAGAAGGGUACACUGGAAAGAACUGUGACUUGAUAUGCCAAAGAGAUUGCGGAGACAGUUGUUUCCCGAACUGUCUUAACGGCAUAUGCCACCUAAAAAGCAAGCUCUGUACUGCCGGCUGCUCUCUGGGCUGGUGGGGCGAGUCAUGCAACAUCAGCUGCAAGGCAGAAUGUCAGGAAGGGAAUUGCAGCCAGCACGAUGGGACCUGCCUGGGGCCAUGCCUGUCUGGAUAUUAUGGGGCCAAGUGUGACAGGAGGUGUAGUCCAUACUGUGUGAACAAAGUAUGCAACAAGAAUUCAGGGAGCUGUAAAGAUGGUUGUUCGGAACGGACGAUAUACGGCCCGGAGUGUGUGGACACAUGCUCCAAAGCCUGUCUGAACCAGGCAUGUGACCAGCUGACAGGGGCCUGUCUGGGAUGCCCUGCUGGAAAGCAAGGCAGUCUGUGUGAACAAGACUGUUUGCCAGGCUGGUAUGGCGAGAGCUGUGAGGACCAAUGUGGCAACUGCAAGGAUGGUAACCCCUGCAGUAUCCUGGACGGCACCUGUCCAGCAGGGGCGGGCUGUGAGGUUGGAUGGACUGGCUUGCAGUGCCAGCAAAAUCUCCUUGGACAAUCAUCUGCGCAGGCUGGUAGCAUGAAUAUGUCCAUUGGGGUCGGUGUGGGCGUGUCCUUGGCGGUGGUUGUCAUGGUGAUUGUUAUUGCCGUAUACUUUCUGUGGCGGCAGCGUACAGACAAAGCAAAGAGACACCAGUCUCGGGAACAUGUCGUUGUAUACAAGGACUCGACUGCUUCUAUUGAACAAGUACCCACCACAAGCAGUGCGGGGGUUCUGGCCACCGAUGCAGGGGAGAGUGACAGUGCCCGUAGUGACAACCUGUUACUGGGCACAGAUACACCAGUCAUACACGCCGACCUUGACUCGUGUUUCCAUGACAACGGAUUUUUCAAACUGUACAAGGGGAAGACAAAUAUGAAAGCUGGAAAAAGGGAGUGCUGUGUAAAAAUACAUAACUUAGAUGACACAAGACUUGACUCUAAGGACCACUGGACCCGCCUGAUGAACGAGUGCGAGCUUCAGAGGCUGUCCUGUGCCCACACCAACAUUGUGCAGCUCUUCAGCACCUACCAGAACAAGAAUUGGUUCAACAUAGCUCUGGAGCCAUGUAUGAGCAAAAACCUUCACAACUACUUGCUGACCAGCCCUCAGCCAGACAAGUCCCAAGAAAAGUCGUGUGUUUUCCGUCUUUUGCAAUACUGUAUGGAUGUCACGUCUGCUGUUAGUCAUCUGCACCAGUUGAAGAUAUUGCACCGACAGAUAGAGGCCAGUCAUGUCUAUCUGACGGCACAGAAUGUGGCCAAGCUGGGCGAUUUUUACUGGGCUAAACUGGUCACUGAUCAAAACUUUGAACUGGAGAGAUAUGUGCUGGAAUCGAGCUAUGCUUUACUGAGUCCAGAGACACUUCUCCACAACCAGUAUACCUUUCAGUCUGAUGUCUGGAGUCUUGGCCUGCUAUUCUGGGAGGUGUUAUCACUCGGGAAGACGCCCUACGAAGGACUGAGUCCAGAGAGACACAGGCGGACAGUUAUAGAAGGGGAUCGACCAUGUAGACCUUCGCUUGCCCAUAGCUAUGUGUACAGAUUGAUGACAAGUUGUUGGCAUUAUUCACCUACUGAUCGGCCAGACGUUGAAAAUGUCUUGAAGCAACUUUUGGAUAUUCAGCAACAAUCAGUGUCUGCUCCUGGUGUGGUAGACAGGGCUUCAAGGUCAUCUGAAGGUCAAGGCUACACAUCUGCAAAUUCUAAGCUGGGUACCCCUUCAAGCGGAUCUUCAAGCCCAACGAGGCCUAGUUCCAAUGGUGAAGACUAUGUGAGCAAUAAGGAUUUGGGUGCCCGAACAAUAAGCCAUUCAAGAACACAGCAGGGUGGUUCAAAGCUAGCAAACAAAGUUGGAAACCUAUUGAAUGGUUCACAUGUAGAGGACAGUGCAAGACGAGAUCCAAAGACACAGGCUGCAGAUUUUCAUGUGAAUUACCAGACUGAUGGUUCUUAUACCCAGCAUUACGAAAGAGAGAAAGAAAGUAUCACAGGAAACCAGACAGCUGGGUCCAGUUUGGAAAACAUGCCAAGAAAACAGCAUAUUGGUUCCUAUCCACAGAAAUAUCAUAUAAAGCACCAGACUGGUUCUCCAAUGGAGAACAUUCGAGGGAAAGGAUACCAGUCAUCUGAAUCCAAUGAAGAUAAGCAGAAACAAAAGAAUCAGACUGGUUCCAAUAUGGAGUACAGUCCUGGGAGCCAGAAGGCGGGUUCCCCUCAAAACCAUAAUUCAGACAUUAGAAGGGAAGAAAAGAAGCUGGCUUCUAUCAUUGAGACAGAAAUUUGAAAUAAAUAAACAUAGAAAGAUAUUUAUUCGAUCAUGGCUGCAAAGUAGACAGUCAUGCUGGUCAUACAGAUGGCAAAAAGUAAAACUUAUUUGAGCUUAUACUGCAGUAAUUUUUGGCUUGACUAUACCUAUCUGGUGUGGGUUUCUCUGUUGCCACCUGCCUAAUGAAAGUGAAUGUAGUUAUUUAAUAAGAUUGAAAGAAGAGUCGUGCAUGCUAUGUACCGGGUAUGACCUAAAAAUGCACAUACAAUGUACCAUGUCAAUCAGGCACUUGCCUAUAAAGUCUUUAAUAACUUUUUUAAUAUUGAUUAUGAAUCUUCAGGAUUUAUACCGAGUUUAAUUAGAUAUUAGUAGAUCAUCCUGCAUGUAAGAAAAUUUGUCUAAUAAGGAUGGUAAAUGUACCAAACAUUCAAAAGUUCAGACAAAAUCAUAGAAAAAUCAGCCAUUGGUGACUAUUUUGAACACCAGUUAGUAUUUUUCUCGCGCUCUAACAGUUACUUGCGUAUGAUCUACUCCAUGGCUAAGGUGACAUUCAGACAGUUUGUGCUGACAUAUUUGGAGAAACUGCGCUGUGGUAUAAACUUACCAUUACUUACACUAUAUUGGAUAAGCAAACAAGCACAUUAUAAUGAUUUCAUUUCUUUUAUUUUCAACAUGUUUUCACCACGAUUUUCAGCCAUUAUGUUUUGUUUAUAUUAAAAAAGGCAGGAUAAAGUCGGAAAAGCAUGUGAUUAAUAGAAAACCUGAUGAUCUGUAUUGAUGAGAGAUACAAAAACAGUGCCAUACAAAUUGAACCACUUCUUUAUGCUCAGAUUACGAGUUUUAUACGCCUUGCUAUUAUGAUAAUUUUAUCUGGUAUUCUAUAAUGGGUAUAUUAAUAUUUUUGCCAAAAUGUUUGUGUUAACGUUCAGCAUGACAUUGUUAAGUAAAUGUUACGAAACCAGAAACAAAAUCUCAAUGAUAUUCUAUCAUCAUUAUGGUUAUGGUAAGAAUGUCAUUAAAAUUGUUAAUAAUAAUUCAUGACGUUCAAAUACUUUUUCAUCUUUUCUAAAGCAAAAACUAUUUUAACAUAAUGCAUAAAUCUUCUACAGGUUAAGUAGUGAUUUAAUGCCUAACCAUUUUACCAUGUUUAUCAUGAAAUAAUUAGGUGUUUUCAUGUACUUAAUAACAAUCUUUGAGGUGCUGUCAUACGUCCUCGUGUUUUACCUACUAACGAGAAAAACAAGGGCAUUGCAAAUUCAACAACAUUUGAACUUUCAUUUGUAAGCAUAAUUCCGAUUUUUUGUACUUGUGCGUUUGGGUAUGUCAUUAUGUCUGCCUUUAUUUGAUAUUAAUGAUAUUAAAUAUUAUUGCAAUUUCUUGCAUAUAAAUUCAUUGUACUUCUUGUAACUUGCUGAAUUGGAAACCGUUGACGUAAACAAAAUUUGUAAAUUAAUACAUAUAUUUAUUGAUUUUUAGCUUAGGGUUUUCGGAGAAAACCCGAGGUAUUGUCAUAGCCAGCUCGUCGUGUCGUCCGACGUUCACGUCGUGCUAAAACCUUAACAUUUGCUCUAAAAUCAAAGUGCUUCCGCCUACAACUUUGAAACUUCAUAUGUAGAUGCACCUUUAUGAGUUCUACACGCCACACCCAUUUUGGGGUCACUAGGUCAAAGAAAAACAAAUUCUGACAAGCUUUAAUUUAUUCAAAACUGCACUCGUAGCCGGGCGUGGCACCCGUUAUGCGGUGCUCUUGUUUUUCUCCCUCUACUUCAAACUAAAGACCUUGUAGAUGCCAGCAGAUCACUGUUAUGAGUGUUUUUGUCUUGUGUUUUGUUUUAUUUCCAUUAUUGCUUUAUAUGUUUUUAUACUGUUAUUAUUAGUUUGUUCAUAGACUCUGUUAAUUAGAAUACCUUUGUACUAUACUGACACGUAUUAUGUUUAAAUUAAACGUAGUAAUUUGUACACAUCUUAUUUUGUUAUAAAGUGUAAAAAAACGUCUAAUUUGAUUGUAAUUACUGGAGUGCUUUUACCAAAGAUAUAUCAAUAAACAAAGAUUAAUCAA